Molecule: ribosomal RNA, 472 nt
Filed under: uncultured Desulfobulbus sp.
Lineage: Bacteria; Pseudomonadati; Thermodesulfobacteriota; Desulfobulbia; Desulfobulbales; Desulfobulbaceae
Description: bacterial SSU rRNA
Rfam family: Bacterial small subunit ribosomal RNA
Source: RNAcentral
GGGGGCCCGCACAAGCGGUGGAGUAUGUGGUUUAAUUCGAUGCAACGCGAAGAACUUACCUGGUCUUGACAUCCCGGAGACCCUUAGGAAACUAGGGGGUGCUUCCAUCUGGAAGAAUCUGGAGACAGGUGCUGCAUGGCUGUCGUCAGCUCGUGUCGUGAGAUGUUGGGUUAAGUCCCGCAACGAGCGCAACCCUUGCCUUUAGUUGCCAGCAGUUCGGCUGGGCACUCUAAAGGGACUGCCGGUGUUAAACCGGAGGAAGGUGGGGAUGACGUCAAGUCCUCAUGGCCUUUAUGACCAGGGCUACACACGUACUACAAUGGCCGAUACAAAGGGCAGCGACACUGCGAGGUGAAGCCAAUCCCGUAAAAUCGGUCUCAGUCCGGAUUGGAGUCUGCAACUCGACUCCAUGAAGUUGGAAUCGCUAGUAAUCGUGGAUCAGCAUGCCACGGUGAAUACGUUCCCGGGCCUU